GAAAUGCGAUAAGUAGUGUGAAUUGCAGAAUUCAGUGAAUCAUCGAAUCUUUGAACGCACAUUGCGCCCUAUGGUAUUCCGUAGGGCAUGCCUGUUCGAGCGUCAUUUACACCUCAAGCCUUGCUUGGUGUUGGGUGACUGUGGCCCCUUUGGGGCCACUCGCCUUAAAGUCAUUGGCGGCCGGUUCGUUGGCUUUGUAGCGCAGCACAAUUGCGUCCUCGAAGCCGCUGGACCAGCUCCCAGAAGCUAAUUUUAAAUGUUUGACCUCGAAUCAGGUAGGGAUACCCGCUGAACUUAAGC
RNAcentral lists this unclassified non-coding RNA (300 nucleotides) under plant metagenome. RNAcentral's name for it is "partial contains 5.8S ribosomal RNA, internal transcribed spacer 2, and large subunit ribosomal RNA". The stretch from base 1 to 105 matches the Rfam family "5.8S ribosomal RNA", at positions 50 to 154 of the family's 154-position model. The record is from RNAcentral.